Molecule: ribosomal RNA, 404 nt
Filed under: uncultured bacterium
Lineage: Bacteria
Description: bacterial SSU rRNA
Rfam family: Bacterial small subunit ribosomal RNA
Source: RNAcentral
UGGGGAAUAUUGGACAAUGGGCGCAAGCCUGAUCCAGCCAUGCCGCGUGAGUGAUGAAGGCCCUAGGGUUGUAAAGCUCUUUCGCCAGGGACGAUAAUGACGGUACCUGGAUAAGAAGCCCCGGCUAACUUCGUGCCAGCAGCCGCGGUAAUACGAAGGGGGCUAGCGUUGUUCGGAAUCACUGGGCGUAAAGCGCACGUAGGCGGACUGUUAAGUCAGAGGUGAAAUCCUGGGGCUCAACCCCAGAACUGCCUUUGAUACUGGCGGUCUUGAGUGUGGAAGAGGUUGGUGGAACUCCGAGUGUAGAGGUGAAAUUCGUAGAUAUUCGGAAGAACACCAGUGGCGAAGGCGGCCAACUGGUCCACUACUGACGCUGAGGUGCGAAAGCGUGGGGAGCAAACAGG